Molecule: ribosomal RNA, 497 nt
Filed under: uncultured bacterium
Lineage: Bacteria
Description: partial 16S ribosomal RNA
Rfam family: Bacterial small subunit ribosomal RNA
Source: RNAcentral
GAUGAACGCUGGCGGCGUGCCUAAUACAUGCAAGUCGAGCGAACGGACGAGAAGCUUGCUUCUCUGAUGUUAGCGGCGGACGGGUGAGUAACACGUGGAUAACCUACCUAUAUGACUGGGAUAACUUCGGGAAACCGGAUCUAAUACCGGAUAAUAUUUUGAACCGCAUGGUUCAAAAGUGAAAGACGGUCUUGCUGUCACUUAUAGAUGGAUCCGCGCUGCAUUAGCUAGUUGGUAAGGUAACGGCUUACCAAGGCAACGAUGCAUAGCCGACCUGAGAGGGUGAUCGGCCACACUGGAACUGAGACACGGUCCAGACUCCUACGGGAGGCAGCAGUAGGGAAUCUUCCGCAAUGGGCGAAAGCCUGACGGAGCAACGCCGCGUGAGUGAUGAAGGUCUUCGGAUCGUAAAACUCUGUUAUUAGGGAAGAACAGAUGUGUAAGUAACUGUGCACAUCUUGACGGUACCUAAUCAGAAAGCCACGGCUAACUACGUG